UACGGAGGGUGCAAGCGUUGUCCGGAUUUAUUGGGUUUAAAGGGUGCGUAGGCGGCCCGUUAAGUCAGUGGUGAAAGCCUCCAGCUCAACUGGAGAACUGCCAUUGAUACUGGCGGGCUUGAGUACAGACGAGGUAGGCGGAAUUGAUUGUGUAGCGGUGAAAUGCAUAGAUACAAUCAAGGACACCGAUUGCGUAGGCAGCUUACUAGGCUGUAACUGACGCUGAGGCACGAAAGCGUGGGGAGCGAACAGG
This 253-nucleotide ribosomal RNA is filed under the name uncultured bacterium. Its description in RNAcentral is "partial 16S ribosomal RNA". It matches the Rfam family "Bacterial small subunit ribosomal RNA", at positions 524 to 776 of the family's 1533-position model. The record is from RNAcentral.